Long non-coding RNA from Mobula hypostoma (lesser devil ray), 491 nucleotides. RefSeq lists it as uncharacterized. The record is from RefSeq and is a predicted model, not a curated record. NCBI's taxonomy places the organism in Eukaryota, Metazoa, Chordata, Chondrichthyes, Myliobatiformes, Myliobatidae. The transcript is spliced from 3 exons.
UUCACACAGCUUCUGUAAUUCUGUCUGUGUUUGCUGGAUUUUUCCUAGUUCCCUCACCUCCCGCUGACCGACCUGUACCAGACCGGUGAGGAGGUGUGGGACCAGAACUACGAACUGCCUCAUAAACCCGGCUCAUCCGGACCUGUCCGUCUGUAAUCAGCGACUGACACUCUAUAACCGAAUAGGGUCGGGAGCGGCAGCACAGACUGAAUUCUCGGUGCAUGGUCGGCACAUUUGUCAUCCGGGACAGCACUGAACACCGUCCGGUAUCAACAUCAGAGCAGAGGAUCCGCCCUGUGGACAGGCAGCAGCUUGUACACAGAAAAUCGCGCUGUGAGUCUCACAGAACAGUAACACCGGGCCCUCUCCCAUAGAUAAUAAAUAUCUGUCGCUGCACUGGCUGGAAUGAAGUUAGCAGAAAACCACUUGAAAAUAUAUCGACACGGAGACUGAACAAUCUUCGUGAAUUGAGCAUCAUAUCUGAGGCCGGC